GAUGAACGCUGGCGGCGUGCCUAAUACAUGCAAGUCGAGCGAACAGAUGAGGAGCUUGCUCCUCUGACGUUAGCGGCGGACGGGUGAGUAACACGUGGAUAACCUACCUAUAAGACUGGGAUAACUUCGGGAAACCGGAGCUAAUACCGGAUAAUAUAUUGAACCGCAUGGUUCAAUAGUGAAAGACGGUUUUGCUGUCACUUAUAGAUGGAUCCGCGCCGCAUUAGCUAGUUGGUAAGGUAACGGCUUACCAAGGCAACGAUGCGUAGCCGACCUGAGAGGGUGAUCGGCCACACUGGAACUGAGACUCGGUCCAGACUCCUACGGGAGGCAGCAGUAGGGAAUCUUCCGCAAUGGGCGAAAGCCUGACGGAGCAACGCCGCGUGAGUGAUGAAGGUCUUCGGAUCGUAAAACUCUGUUAUUAGGGAAGAACAAAUGUGUAAGUAACUAUGCACGUCUUGACGGUACCUAAUCAGAAAGCCACGGCUAACUACGUG
RNAcentral lists this ribosomal RNA (497 nucleotides) under uncultured bacterium. RNAcentral describes it as "partial 16S ribosomal RNA". It matches the Rfam family "Bacterial small subunit ribosomal RNA", at positions 28 to 507 of the family's 1533-position model. The record is from RNAcentral.